GAAGAGAUGUUUUAUAGCUGUAUUUUGGAGUAUAGUUAAAUACCUUUUGAGAUAAUUUCUGGUGUCAGGAAAUAGGGCCAUGCAUUGAGUAUUGUUAAUGUAACAUGAACUGUACAUGAGGAAGGGAGGACAGACAGGACUGAAUCCACGACACCAAAGGGAGCUAGUUUGGGGACUGCAGGUCCCACAUGCACUGGUGAUGGCCCAUCCUCCUGCAGGCCUCAGCUUCGAGGUAUGGAUCAAGCCCCUCUGAUAGAGGAAAACAGCAACAGCAGCACAUGGGAGCUUGCUCAGGGCCCCAAAACCUCUUCCCAGGGAGUGCAGUAACACACUGAACUGUGCAAAAGACUGCUUCAUGGGGAGCUGGAGUUGGGGAAAUCUGCUUGGCUGUGGUAGCAGCACAGACUGGUUAAAAAGCAACCCCCACCUCCAACAAAACCUCUGAAAAGGGGAGCUGAGAAUGAAUCUUGCACUGCUGUCACAGGUAAACUCUGAUUUGCAAAGGCAAGCCCUGCAUGUGAGGAGUCCAUGAUCCCUGACUCCUUGCAAACCUUUGUCCAGCCUGAGGUUUACUCCUUCACUCCACAGUGAAAAAAAGGUGAACACAUUUGCAGCACCAGGCCAAUGCCACACAGCAACCCAGUGCUAUUACAUGGCUCUAUGUCCACCAGAGACAUGGUGAUGCUCAGGUUUGGCAGGAGUCCUGUCAGCUGGGAGAUGUAUCCUAAAUGUGCCCUACCCAAAGCAGUCAGCAUGUACAGUGAACAUCCCUCCCCCAGUGCCUUCUCCAUGUUCAAGUUCUGCCACUGUCCUUGAGAUAAGUCAUACCUGUCUCUUAAGGACUGCAUUGCUCUUUGUGGUGGGGCUGUUUCUCUCUUCUGUUUUGAUAUUACUUCCCUUUCAGGGGUACUCCCUAGUGUUUAGAUACCCUCAAAACCUUAAGUAUGGGUUUCAGGGUUGACCUUGCCCAGCAUAAGCUACCUGCCAAACAAAUAAUUGCCCUCUCCAGAAAAGAUGAGACAGGAGGCUGGCUGGGGUGUUGUUGCUUUCUCAGCAAGGCAGCCUUUGAUCUCUUGCUGCUUCUCAGCUCAGGCAGAA
Molecule: long non-coding RNA, 1098 nt
Organism: Oxyura jamaicensis (ruddy duck)
Lineage: Eukaryota; Metazoa; Chordata; Aves; Anseriformes; Anatidae
Exons: 2
Source: RefSeq, a predicted model, not a curated record